Molecule: ribosomal RNA, 319 nt
Filed under: uncultured bacterium
Lineage: Bacteria
Description: bacterial SSU rRNA
Rfam family: Bacterial small subunit ribosomal RNA
Source: RNAcentral
AACGAACGUUGGCGGCGUGGAUGAGGCAUGCAAGUCGAACGUGAAAACCUUCGGGUGAGUAGCGUGGCGGACGGGCGAGUAACACGUAAUCAAGCUACCUGCCAGACGGGGACAACUUUGGGAAACCGAUGAUAAAACCCGAUGGUCUCACGACAUCGCAUGGUGAUGUGAGUAAAUGGACGGGACCCUCCGGGGCCGUCUGCUGGCAGAGGUGAUUGCGGCCCAUCAGCUUGUUGGUAGGGUAAUGGCCUACCAAGGCUACGACGGGUAGCCGGCCUAAGAGGGUGGUCGGUCGCACUGGGACUGAGACACUGCCCAA